RNAcentral lists this long non-coding RNA (459 nucleotides) under Mus pahari (shrew mouse). Its description in RNAcentral is "lncRNA (MGP_PahariEiJ_G0003320.1)". The record is from RNAcentral. Lineage: Eukaryota; Metazoa; Chordata; Mammalia; Rodentia; Muridae.
ACCAGCAGCAAGCACACUAUAAUGAAUGACUGCCAUGAGGGGUUACAGGAGCUUCUCUGGGCAGGGUCAAAUGUAGAUAACAGUUACCGUUUCAUGAGUUGCUGGGAGUUUUCAGUGAAGGGAAACAUCCAAAACAUGGCAUGCACAAUGGUUUCCUAGUACUGUCCCCACUGACCCCAUAACACUGCCCACUGAGCAGCAUAUGUGUCUGUCCCCGUGAAGGAGCCUGUCAUUAGCUCUUCACAGGACAGUGGUGGACAUCCUGAGGUCACGGGAUGAGGAAGGAUCUGACCAUUGGAGAGAACUCCUCCUCUUCACCACACAGGCUUCUGCCUUAGGAUUUACUUCCCACUGAUCGUAGCUGGAUAUAAAUCCUUAGGGACUGCCACAUACAACUUCUGUAUUGGUCUUCAGACUGGAAUUAUCACGGAGGAACUCUGUGCAGUGCAUCGUUAAAGA